RNAcentral lists this unclassified non-coding RNA (1118 nucleotides) under Hevea brasiliensis (rubber tree). Lineage: Eukaryota; Viridiplantae; Streptophyta; Magnoliopsida; Malpighiales; Euphorbiaceae. The record is from RNAcentral.
GAUCAGGAAUUUGUUGCAAAACAGGUCUCAUUUACUUGCUGCCUUUGACUCUUUCCAAAACCAUACUGCUGCCAAAAAUUUUUUGUUUUAAGUUUUUACUUGAAGUUUUUAUCCUUGAAAAGGUAUAUUUUAUAAUGUCAACAAUUAGUGAACUAUUAAAGUAACAUCUAUUGCUACUUAUAUAUAUAUUUCACUGAUGAAUCACUUGGGAGUUGUUUUUGUGUCUUUUUUUUUAUCAGCUCAUAUAGAGCGCGGUUGUUAUUAUUGGUGGAGGCUCUGAAUGUAUUUUCUGUUGCUUUUUAUUUUUUGGUGAAGUUUUCCAUAAAUAUAGGAUUUCAUGUAAGUGGUUGUUAAAUAUCUAAGUGUCCAUUCUUGUUUAUGGUUCUUUCUUUUACUACGAAAUUUUAGAUACUGUUCUGGCGGACAGGAAAAAAAAAGACAAAUAAGUUUCUUAAAUUGGUCUUCCUCACUGAGAAGAAAUUGUUAUCGAAACAAUACUGUAUUGGCUAAUUGGACUUUGGCUCAUCCGUCUUUUUAAAUAAGCACGAUAACUUCACUUAAAUUAACCUGGUCAAGUGGAAUAGUUUUGAGGGCCAGUUAGACUUUUGCCAUUCAUUUUCCACAUGAUAUAAUACUCCAAAGAAGCCUAAUAUCGAUAUAACAAACUCUGCAUCAAGUGAAGUUCCCCGAUCCUGUUCCAUGUACCAAUAAUUCAUAUUCUGCAUAUCCUAUGUCACAUUGAAUGUAGGAAAUGUACAAUCCCCCUUUCUGCUUUACUUAUCUCAUCAAUCAGCAUACUUAGUAUUAUAGUACAUAAAGCAAUAUUAAGUAAAAAUACACAAAAUAUUCUGACUGAUUUUUAUGACUAAUAAAAUAUUAGCGAUAUCUGUAUUAUAAGAGAGUUAAAAUGGAUAGAUACCUUUUUUUUUUAGUGUACUUCCUCAUUUUUGUUUUCCAUUUUCAUACUUUCAUUUGGCUGGAGGUCUAUAUGCACUCAUAUUUAAAUAUCACCAUUCUGUACUGCUCCUAUGGAGACAUUUGGUUUAGUGUUCACUCUUUUAACUGCUCUUUUUGCUAUUGCAAUUGAUUUCCUUCAGAUCCACGCAGUUGUGUUACUU